GUCUGGGCUCCUCUCUCUCGGAAAGGUUGGCGUUCUUCACUUUGGUAAUGUCAAGAGACACCUCUCCCCAUUCAGUGAGGCAGCAGGGAAGGGGAGCUCUUAGAACCACAGAAAUUAGAGAGCAGAGGAACCCAAGAGGUCAGCACAUCCACCAGCGUGACACUCAGGCUGCCUUCUACAGGGACCUUGUCAGUGAUUUGCUCUCCUCUGUUUUGACUCCAGAAAAAAAGGUGCUGUCAACCUCAUGUAGAGGGUUAUUCCACAGUUCUAUCUGUUAGGUGCUCUUUCACUCAAUUAAUUUCUUUCUUUUUUUUCUUUCUUUCUUUAUUUCUUUCUCAUAACCCGAUGCUCAUAGGUAUGAUAUUUUAGUUUCAUUUCAUACAUUGACUUGGGAGCUUGCCCAGAUCAUUGCAAUCUGUGGAGAGAACCAAAUAACUUCUGUAUUCUCUAAAGAGGUCUUUCACUUCUUCGGAGAAAGAUAAAUCUCUCAGAGGACAGAAACUGAAAGAUUGUCUCCAUGGCUGAGUUUGGGGCCUGAGAUUAAAAAGGAACCAAUUGAUCCCUGGAGAGCAUCACUCUUGCUCUGUCAGUGACUGAGGUUCCAUAUCCACAGAUCCCUAAAAACUUGCUCAGGCUCUCUGGGCCCUGGACAUAUCCAGGGAAGAAAACCAUUUGAGACGGGGGCGUUGAAAAAGGUCUCUAUUGGAUUUGGGGGAAGAAUCAAUUCAACACAAUUCUGCUGCAAAGUACAAAGUGCUUAAUCAAGAAGUUUGAAUUGUUUAUUUACUUUUUCUCUCUGGAGUAGAUGUGUGCUUUCAUAGCAGAAAAGAGACUUGGUAGUCAGAAAAUCCUUGGAUUGAAACUCACUCUAGUACAAGCUGGGGAGGUUUAUAAAGCUACAUAAGCACCAUUAGUCUCAAUUCCUUCCUUUAAAAAGGGUGGCAGGCAAUGGCGGCCUAUUUGUGGGUUGAUUUUGAGGAAGAGAAAAUACAAAGACAUUGGGAUCACACAGCAUGAAAUCAUCCAAAAGAAUAGGAUUUCAAUAUGUAAUUGAAACCAUUCAAUUCCGUGCUCACCUUCUGCUUCACGUCUUUCUUUUUCUCUUCAUCGGAGGGAACAGGACAGACAGAGCUGCUGCGGUUAAGAAGGCAAUACCCUUUGGACAACUGUGGAACCAUCUAACUCUCUGAACCUCAGAACCUGUGAACUCUCCAAACCUCGGCUCACCCCUUCUCCAGCAGCGAAUCCCUUCACCACUUACCAUGCUCACCUCCACACCUCUCAUUACCACCUCAAGUGUGAAGACUCAAGAUCACAGCUUUUCUGCGUUGAGUUCAAAUCCCUCCACAAGCUGGUCUUUGUCGACUUCUCUCACUCAGAGGUACUGGACUAUUUACUUUUUCAUUUAUUCAACAAGUAUCUAUAGGUUGCCUAGUAAGUGCAAAUCGCUGCAUUAGUGCUAAGUAUUUAAACUUGAACAUUUUGACAGGAAAAGUUGGUAAAGUUGCAAUUUUAUAGAUUUAAAUUUUCAUUGUACCUAGCUUGUUUUGUAAAAUAAAUAUGUAUUAAUUAUGUAAUUCUUUUCAAAAACCCUACUGGGGCUAUAUUAUCUUUAUUGCAUUAAUUAGGACAUAAAGACUCUGAAAAAUUAAACAAAUUCCCCAAAAUAAAACAGUGUAGAAAAAAUCCAAGUAGAAUCUGAAUUAUAAAAUUUAAAAAUCUGCAGUUUUUCAUUUUAUUUCUCUUUGGCCUUAAGAUAUACAAAAUGUUUUUAUCUGUAUCAUCAUCUAUCAUGAAUUUUGACAAAUACUUUUUUGAUGUCAGAAAUACUUUCACGUAAGUGACAAUUAAUAAAACAUUUAAGGAUGCCUGUUCGUACCCUCUAUGCCCCAAUAAAAGUAUUUUCUGCCUUGGCCAGAAACCACUGAAUGGCUUGGUUGAGCAAUGACGUUCCUGUGUCUCUAUAAUUACUUUCUGGCCUGGAGUUCUUAUCCUUGGGAGGCUCGGAAGCAUUAUUUAUACAUGACAUUUUGAGGUUGGUAAUUCUCUUCAAAAAUUUUCCUUCCUUCCAAUGUAAAGGACCAGAAAAUCUCUUUCCAUCCAUUUUUUAUCUCAAAAACUCACAGACAUGUAAUCAAUUUUGACCCAUUUGAGAACCAUGGCAUACACUGGGAAAAACAUGGUCUCUGUGACCUUGGUAAAAAUUGCCCCAGUUUUCCAACCAGAAUCAAGGAAAGUCUUAAUGACAUGUGUCUCUUGUCAAAAUCUUCUCAUUCAUUAGAUUGGCCAGGCUGGACAAAGACCUAAUUGUUACAUGGAGAUUGUUUGGUUUUGGUCGUCUUUUUCUAGUUGGGUUCCAGAGUACAGUGAAAAUGUUAUUCUUUUACCAAGCAAGGACAUAAAUGAUAAGAAUGUGAUGAGGAUAAGAAUGUGACCUAAGGUAUUUUAAGGUGAUUGUCCUUUCUCUUCCAGAAUUCUCUUCUGUUUUGUGGUCUCAUCGCUAGCAGUGAGAAAAAAAAAAAGCUAACCAUCAUUACCCCAAACUCUGGGACUUCCCAAGUUCAGUUUCCUCUGUCUCCCCCUCUGGAUUAGCUUUUCUCCAACACUUGGUGGUUCAGGUUGUGUUCUUUGGGAGUUAUGAGGUUUUCUGUCACACUCUCUGAUAGAUCUCGUUAGUGUCAGCUUGGAAAUAGACAUUUAGUGGGCUGCCAUGGUUUUGUUCACAGAAGCUAGAUGUUGGAAAUGGCUGCUCACAUUUUCCUCUAGAAGUACCAGUCUAUGAAGAUUCCAUGCUUUAGAUGGAACUCAGGCUCCCACACCCUCUGCAUCCACCUGCAACCACAUGAGGAGGCAAGGCCAUAUGCAUAGAUGGUGGAGCAUUGAGCAAUUCCUGUUGGCAAAGCAGUGAGUCACUUUGCUGGUUGUCACAGAGCUGCCUGUCCUCUGGAUCUAGGUCACACCCAGGAGUGCAGACUUCUGCUGACAACUUUGAUUUUGUUGUCAGGACUCCUGUGAUGGUUCGGCUGUGGUUUCAGUCUUUAAUCCUAUGUCUUCCAUGGAUCUCGCACGGUUUCUGGUAGAGGAUAUAGCCUUUUUAUGUGCAUCAUGAUUAUGUUUUACUUAUUUAUAUGUCAUUUUUGGCUUUUUGAGUCUGGAGCAAAAAUGGGAAACGCGGCCUAUUUCAGACUACCAUCUUAAACAAGUGAAUGAAACUAUCAAAAUUUUAGUUAUCCCACCAUUUGCAUUCCCCUCUUAACAAAUUGCACCAUUGAAACAACAUGUGCCUUUGGGUUGACUCCAGACUGAUCCUGUAUCUUCUACCAAAGGAAGACAAAAUGAAAGCACAGUCUCUCAUUUCCACAGGGAUUCUCCCCCUUGGAAACACCAAUGAUAGAGCAAGCUCACCAUGCACUCGCAAACAACUCGCAUGACUUUGGUGCAACAGAACACAAGGCACACACAAGUAACAUGAGGCAUGAAGGGACAGCAGAAGCCUAGAAUUUAGUGCCAGCGAUGCACCCUGUCCCCAUGCCUCAAGGCUCAGGAAAGCUGCCAGGUGGAUGGAGCCUCAUCUGCCUGUGUCUCAUACUACAGUUGAGAGACCCUGGAAACAGCCCGCCUGGGUUACAUACCUUGCCGUCACAUGGCCCACUGGGCUAACAUUGAAGCUCACCCUGUAUUGGGGGGAAAUGGAACAAAACUUAGGCUGGUUCAGCCAGUUCCUCUCUUAUCUCAGGGUGUCACAUUCCCAGUAACUUCUAGUUGUUCUUGAGAACUACAAGCAAUAAAAGGGGGCAAAACAGGUUAAUCUAAGGCCAGCCAGAGAACUAUCCUGCACCAUGUAAAUCAAAGAAUAAGUUUAAAGGAGAAUAUGUACUCUCCACAGUAGGGAGUUAAAAUAAAGCAAGAGAUCACUGUCUAAUGAGACUCAUAGGAAUCAGCCAUCUUAUUCAAUUUAUCAGAAUUUUCAAGGACACAGGUAAUCACAAAGAUGUAGGGAGAGGCCCAAGACCCCAGGGUAACAGGGGAGACACAUGGUCACAUUAUUAAUUCCUGGGCUUCUCCACUUACACUCUUGAGAGUUUCCCAGCUUAGCAGGUCUGUUUCAGAAAAGCUCCUCAUAAAUCCAUGUAUUUCAGAUUAUUUUUUGCUUAAAAAACAGCCCUAGUGAGGGGAAAGGGGAAAAAAAAACAAGGGGGAGAAAUGAAUUAC
Molecule: long non-coding RNA, 4212 nt
Filed under: Marmota monax (woodchuck)
Lineage: Eukaryota; Metazoa; Chordata; Mammalia; Rodentia; Sciuridae
Source: RNAcentral